Molecule: ribosomal RNA, 393 nt
Filed under: Triticum aestivum (bread wheat)
Lineage: Eukaryota; Viridiplantae; Streptophyta; Magnoliopsida; Poales; Poaceae
Description: partial small subunit ribosomal RNA
Source: RNAcentral
AUGGAGAGAGAGGCAGAGGCGCGCCACCAGCUGCUGCUCCACGGCGUGAGCCUGGACCUGCGUCUCAACACGGUCACCCACCAGCGCGGCGGCCCGCGCCCGGCGUCCCCCGCUGCUCCCGCGGCGCUCGACAACGUCGGCAGGGAGGCCCUCGCCUGCAACUACUGCCACCGCAAGUUCUUAAGCUCGCAGGCGCUCGGCGGCCACCAGAACGCGCACAAGCUGGAGCGCACCCCGCCAAGCGCAGCCGGGACGUCCCCUCCUCAGCCGUCGCCAUGGCGACUGCUUCCUCUUCCACGGCCGCCCACAGCUGGCUCCACGCCGGCGGCGGGGAGCUCUGGGGGUACUCUGGUUCGGCCGCUGCUCCGGACUCCGCGACGAUGGCGCCACUGA